CCCCUCCCCGGGGGGUGGCUAGUGCCCGCCAGAGGACCAUCAAACUCCAGUCAGUGAACGUCGCAGUCUGAAAAAACAUUCAAUAAACUAAAACUUUCAACAACGGAUCUCUUGGUUCUGGCAUCGAUGAAGAACGCAGCGAAAUGCGAUAAGUAAUGUGAAUUGCAGAAUUCAGUGAAUCAUCGAAUCUUUGAACGCACAUUGCGCCCCUUGGUAUUCCGAGGGGCAUGCCUGUUCGAGCGUCAUUACAACCCUCAAGCUCUGCUUGGUAUUGGGCACCGCCCUUCUUCGGGCGCGCCUCAAAGACCUCGGCGGUGGCUGUCUUGCCUCAAGCGUAGUAGAAUACACCUCGCUUCGGAGCGCAGGGCGUCGCCCGCCGGACGAACCUUCUGAACUUUUCUCAAGGUUGACCUCGGAUCAGGUAGGGAUACCCGCUGAACUUAAGCAUAU
Molecule: ribosomal RNA, 450 nt
Filed under: Cophinforma mamane
Lineage: Eukaryota; Fungi; Ascomycota; Dothideomycetes; Botryosphaeriales; Botryosphaeriaceae
Description: eukaryotic LSU rRNA
Rfam family: 5.8S ribosomal RNA (bases 92-245)
Source: RNAcentral